AGACCCGAAACCCGGUGAUCUAGCCAUGGGCAGGUUGAAGGUUGGGUAACACUAACUGGAGGACCGAACCGACUAAUGUUGAAAAAUUAGCGGAUGACCUGUGGCUGGGGGUGAAAGGCCAAUCAAACCGGGAGAUAGCUGGUUCUCCCCGAAAGCUAUUUAGGUAGCGCCUCGUGAAUUCAUCUCCGGGGGUAGAGCACUGUUUCGGCUAGGGGGCCAUCCCGGCUUACCAACCCGAUGCAAACUGCGAAUACCGGAGAAUGUUAUCACGGGAGACACACGGCGGGUGCUAACGUCCGUCGUGAAGAGGGAAACAACCCAGACCGCCAGCUAAGGUCCCAAAGUCAUGGUUAAGUGGGAAACGAUGUGGGAAGGCCCAGACAGCCAGGAUGUUGGCUUAGAAGCAGCCAUCAUUUAAAGAAAGCGUAAUAGCUCACUGGUCGAGUCGGCCUGCGCGGAAGAUGUAACGGGGCUAAACCAUGCACCGAAGCUGCGGCAGCGAACGUAUCACUUAAAGCGAUUCAGCGGGUUACGAUUGACGGAGCGAAGCGACGUCAAAGCGUAUACAAAGUCGAGUCGGUUUAAGGAUACGUUCGUUGGGUAGGGGAGCGUUCUGUAAGCCUGUGAAGGUGUGUCGUGAGGCAUGCUGGAGGUAUCAGAAGUGCGAAUGCUGACAUAAGUAACGAUAAAGCGGGUGAAAAGCCCGCUCGCCGGAAGACCAAGGGUUCCUGUCCAACGUUAAUCGGGGCAGGGUGAGUCGACCCCUAAGGCGAGGCCGAAAGGCGUAGUCGAUGGGAAACGGGUUAAUAUUCCCGUACUUGGUGUUACUGCGAAGGGGGGACGGAGAAGGCUAUGUUGGCCGGGCGACGGUUGUCCCGGUUUAAGCGUGUAGGCUGGUUUUCCAGGCAAAUCCGGAAAAUCAAGGCUGAGGCGUGAUGACGAGGCACUACGGUGCUGAAG
RNAcentral lists this ribosomal RNA (960 nucleotides) under Salmonella enterica subsp. enterica serovar Infantis. RNAcentral's name for it is "partial 23S ribosomal RNA". It matches the Rfam family "Bacterial large subunit ribosomal RNA", at positions 711 to 1590 of the family's 2925-position model. The record is from RNAcentral. Lineage: Bacteria; Pseudomonadati; Pseudomonadota; Gammaproteobacteria; Enterobacterales; Enterobacteriaceae. RNAcentral also lists the same sequence under 1 other name.